UUGAACUUAUAUGGCAGCCAUCCUGAUAGUUACAAAAUGACACACAAGGUAGGAGCUGAGAAUGCAACACUGAAUCCUGGCUGUCAGGAAAAUGACAAUAUAGCAUGGCAAGUUCACUCAGGCAGAUUUCAUUAUAAAAAUGGGUAUAAGAAUUUAUAAUAGGAAAAUAAUUCAUAGGCAAUGUGGAGAGAAACAACAUUCUUAAUUAUAGAUAUAGUUCCUUCUAAUUAACUUAGUACUGAUGGAGUGACCAGCCAGAAUUGGCACAUUCUAAGCGGACAGAAAUAAAAGUUGAGAGGUUUUGGAAAAGUGGUAAAAUAUCCACGUAUUUAUUCUUGUUCAAUUCAUCUUUAUUUGAACUUUCUUGUAGGAUGUGAUGAAAAGUGCAGAUCUACUUUGAAAGCUGAUACUUUACCAGGUUGUAGAACACACUGUUAAGAUUUGCACUUUGUUAUUUUGUUCCUACUGCAGGCUAGAACAGCCGUACUUGUCAGCAAGUGCACAAUUCUUUCAAGCACUAGGGCAUUGCUCAUCACUGGAGCGAUUCUGCAUAGUUUCUCGGCACGGAACUUUCCAGCAUGAUGCAGUGAUAUCAUUCAUGACCAAGUGCUCGAAUGUCGUCAUGUGUCACAUGUUUACAGGAGAAACUCUAGUGGCCUGCAAGAACCUUCAGCAAGCACUGAUUACAGGUUUCCAGACUGACCGCCCUGCACUGAAUGUGGCUAUAUUCCCACUUCUUCAUGAAGGACUCGCUGACAUCAUCCGAGAUGUUCCAAUGAUGCACUUGGAUGAAAUAACUCUGUUUAAAAGCCGUGUUGCAGAAGACCCUCUGCAUCUCUGGUGGUGAUAUUCUUACCAAGAAGAGAGAGAGAGAGCUAAUAGUGUGGUGAUCCCCAUGCGUGACUAUUUCCUUCAAAUUCCCCUGCUUGUUGGUGACAUUGUUGUUUAAAAUAAAAUGCACUCGUUUACUGUCUUGUGGAAACCAGAAAAAGGUUGAAGCUUGAAAAUUAGAGGUUUUUUGUUGCCUUGUUUUCCAACAAAAUUCCAUUGAAUCUGGGUUAUCACCAAUAAUGGUGGAUUUUACGUGUGGCAAGUUUUAUGUUGUGCCUGCUGUAGUCUUCACAAUAAUUGGAAAUCAGAACAUGAGAAGCAAAGGACAAGUAACAACCUAUCAACUCUCAUCCCACUAAUACCAUAACUCUCCCAGAAUAGCAUUCAUUGUGUUGCAAGCAUUCCUAAUGUUUGCCUCUACUUGCUGCUUGCUUCCAUUUUAAUGAGAUUAAAUCCUCUGGUUUGAUUUUUUUCUUGCUUCUGUUUUACAAACUGAGAGUAACCAAGUUUAGACUAGGUUUUCUUUUUGUUUGUUACCCUGUUGCAAGAUUAACUGUUGCUUUUCUUCACGAUUCUUGAUCAUCCUUAGCCUUCCUUGAAUUCUUUCAAGUUACAGUUGUGAGCAGUCUCAUUCUUCUCUGGACUGUCUUUGGUGUUUGUAUAUGUUCUUUGUGAUGUAGUGACUGGCAUUAAAUGCAUUUCUUCAAGUGUGAGCUGA
Molecule: non-coding RNA, 1549 nt
Organism: Chiloscyllium plagiosum (whitespotted bambooshark)
Lineage: Eukaryota; Metazoa; Chordata; Chondrichthyes; Orectolobiformes; Hemiscylliidae
Source: RefSeq, a predicted model, not a curated record